Long non-coding RNA from Arvicanthis niloticus (Nile rat), 822 nucleotides. RefSeq lists it as uncharacterized. Lineage: Eukaryota; Metazoa; Chordata; Mammalia; Rodentia; Muridae. The record is from RefSeq and is a predicted model, not a curated record.
AGUGCGGGGCCGGCAGCAGGGGGCGGGCCCAGCCCGCGUCACCCGGCAGCAACCAAGCGACUACCAGGUUGCCUGCUGUCUGAGACGCUUCUGUGCUUCUGGAUUUUGAUGGACAUUAUAGAUCACCCUCCACUCAUCACCAUGAAAAGUUUGGUGGCAAAUGGCUCACAGACAGAUAGGAGGCACCAGCUAAUGAAGACAAAUCCGCAGAUCAAUAGAGAUGUGGUUGCCGGUGUGGAAACCCUGUGGUCCCCUGACCUCAAAUGAGGAGCUCUGGAUAGGAGGAGCAGGAUGGAUGUUAAGAACUGCUCCCUGAGAGAGACUGGGGUACAGUCUGACAGUGUUCAGGGAGAGAGGUCAGAGGGGGCUUCCUGGAAGAGGAGGGAUUUACAAGUAAAAACCAUUUAAGCAGGGACAAAAGGUAGGCCCGGGGUAUGCCAGGCAUUCCAAACAGUCUAGGGAGCGCCCAAGCAGGCAAUGGGCUCUUUGGAGGAUCAGGAAGCUCCCUGGAUGAGGGAGAGUGGGUGAACUGGUCUGGGUGUGCUCUGUAUUGUUAGGCCACACAGGAUAGCUCUGGUUUCUGGCAGAGGGAGUCUGUCUGUCUGUCUGUCCUAGCUUUCCUUGGCUGGCAGGCGCCAUGAGCCUUUGUUUCCUUCUGACUAGAACUUGUGCCUCUUUCAUGGAUGUUUUGCUCUGAUAAUGGGUCUCCUUGAGGCUGGUAAGAUGACUCAGUGGAUGAAAGGUGCUUGCCACUAACUUGAUGGUCUGAGAAGAGGAGAACCCCUCCUGAGAGCUGUCCUCUGACCUCUGCCUGACCCCACC